Molecule: ribosomal RNA, 253 nt
Filed under: uncultured bacterium
Lineage: Bacteria
Description: partial 16S ribosomal RNA
Rfam family: Bacterial small subunit ribosomal RNA
Source: RNAcentral
GACAGAGGGUGCAAACGUUGUUCGGAAUUACUGGGCGUAAAGCGAGUGUAGGCGGUCUCCUAAGUCGGGUGUGAAAGUCCUGGGCUCAACCUGGGAACUGCGCUUGAUACGGCAGAGCUAGAGGAUGGAAGAGGGUCGCGGAAUUCCCAGUGUAGAGGUGAAAUUCGUAGAUAUUGGGAAGAACACCGGUGGCGAAGGCGGCGACCUGGUCCAUUACUGACGCUGAGGCGCGACAGCGUGGGGAGCAAACAGG